This 411-nucleotide unclassified non-coding RNA is filed under the name Hevea brasiliensis (rubber tree). The record is from RNAcentral. Lineage: Eukaryota; Viridiplantae; Streptophyta; Magnoliopsida; Malpighiales; Euphorbiaceae.
AAGAACAGCUGCUUGAUUCUCCACAACCUCCUUUAUCCUUUGUUGAAGAUAGGAUAGACCUUCAGUUGUUAAGCUCCGAAUGGUACCUCCAAAUUUCACUGUCUCUGGGAUUACAUUCCCAGCUUGGCCAGCCUCAACAAACCCCAGUGAGAGUACCCUGGCCUCAAGAGGAUCUGUCUCUCGAGAAAUUAAUUGUUGAAGUGCAAGGAUGGCAAAGGAUGCAGCAAGAACGGGAUCUCUUGUAUCUUGGGGCCGUGCAGCAUGUCCACCCUUCCCUUUAAUGACAGCGAAGAACCUAGCAGAACCAGCAGCCAUUGUACCAGGUCUAGAAGCAAUUGAACCAACAGGCAUUUCUGGUUCAACAUGGAGUCCAAAAAUGGCUUGGAACUUAUCAAGAGCUCCUUCUUUCAA